RNAcentral lists this ribosomal RNA (465 nucleotides) under Vreelandella stevensii. RNAcentral describes it as "partial 16S ribosomal RNA". It matches the Rfam family "Bacterial small subunit ribosomal RNA", at positions 338 to 795 of the family's 1533-position model. Lineage: Bacteria; Pseudomonadati; Pseudomonadota; Gammaproteobacteria; Oceanospirillales; Halomonadaceae. The record is from RNAcentral.
CCUACGGGGUGCUGCAGUGGGGAAUAUUGGACAAUGGGCGAAAGCCUGAUCCAGCCAUGCCGCGUGUGUGAAGAAGGCCUUCGGGUUGUAAAGCACUUUCAGUGGGGAAGAAAGCCUUGGGGCUAAUACCCUCGAGGAAGGACAUCACCCACAGAAGAAGCACCGGCUAACUCCGUGCCAGCAGCCGCGGUAAUACGGAGGGUGCGAGCGUUAAUCGGAAUUACUGGGCGUAAAGCGCGCGUAGGCGGUCUGAUAAGCCGGUUGUGAAAGCCCCGGGCUCAACCUGGGAACGGCAUCCGGAACUGUCAGGCUAGAGUGCAGGAGAGGAAGGUAGAAUUCCCGGUGUAGCGGUGAAAUGCGUAGAGAUCGGGAGGAGUACCAGUGGCGAAGGCGGCCUUCUGGACUGACACUGACGCUGAGGUGCGAAAGCGUGGGUAGCAAACAGGAUUAGAUACCCCUGUAGUC